UUUACUGUCAAACUGAAAGUAAAAGUAAAGUUAAAGACGCAAUUUUAGAGGACGCGCAGUUCGAUACUCCUGUUCCAAUUGUUUGCAGAGAUUGAGAGGUUGAAAACAUGAACACUCAAUAUCCCUACAACAGAUGAUUUAUGUGAUCAGGUUUUCUGAGUGAGAUCUGUCUGAGCAGUCCAGAUUCUGAAGAGACAUUAGACUGUAUGGAGCCUGAGGGAGACCCUGAAGUCAUGAGC
Molecule: long non-coding RNA, 239 nt
Organism: Coregonus clupeaformis (lake whitefish)
Lineage: Eukaryota; Metazoa; Chordata; Actinopteri; Salmoniformes; Salmonidae
Exons: 3
Source: RefSeq, a predicted model, not a curated record